UACAGCAGUCAUUAGUCCACAGCUAUCAGCUCCACGUGGAUGCCCUAAACAGAAUACAACAUAUUAAACAUAACUAAUAAGUUAAUAUGUUCUCUUCAACAUCAAAGAAGGUAUUAUAUAGCAAUAGUCAAGGAGGGCACAUUAAGUAAAACUACCUUCUAAUAACUUAAUAAAAUAAUCCUGAAUAGCUGCAGAUUCCCCUCCCAAUAAGCAGAUUCCUGUCAAAUUUUGAACUGAAAAACUAUUUCUCAAUAAUUUUGUAAAGCUGCAUGCCCUAGCAGAUAACUCUUUUGAAUAAAUUUUCUCAUCCCAAUGCUCUUAUGCAAAAUAUGUAUUUUUAAAAUCUAUCAUAUGAUUUUCAAAUAAUCUCUCUUCCUCUAAAAAAAUCCCUCAAAAACCUAGUUCAUCUUUCUAAUAAAUGGUGAAGCUCUUGCUAGCAUGUGUGGGAAUACACUAGUCUUCUGCUCUCUACACAAGUAAAGGUGUUUUAUAAAUUGCUGGCUUCCAUGGCAAAAUAAAGAAAUUUCAAUCCUUUUCUUAAGGAUUGAAAGUUUCCAAAUUCCUAGCUAGUUGAACUUUCAGUCCAAAAUGAUUAACAUGCUUCUGAAAAUGUCAAUGUCUUUUAAAACCUAAGAGUUAUGUAUUCUUCAUUCCAAAAUGUAUGGUGCUUAAAAUGUAACCUUCACAACCAGGUAGCAUCAAAGCUUUUUUACUGUGAACAGCUCUACAAGUAUUGAUGUAAUAAUGCUAGUUAUUUUGAAAUGCUCAUGUAAAGAAAAUAUUGCCCCGCUGCUUCAAAGAUACGGACUCUGUAAAGUCUCAAGUCUUUAAUUGUUAUGCAAACUUUAAAAAAUAAGCAAAACCAAGUAAAAAGACAGGUCUACAGUGGUGUGAUUUCUAUGGAGUGGCCUGUGAAUAAUAAUAGCAAUACAGAGCACUCUAAUACAGAGAUUGUCCAAAAUAAUUUGCUUUAGAUUACACCAUUGUUUUCUUCUCUGUUACUGUGGUAGACACGGUAGCUGCCAGCUGCGUGCAGAGCUCCAGAUACACACCAGAAAAAACAUUUGGCUGCUUGGGCAGCAAAUGCAACCCAGAAAACUUUUCCCCAGCUUCUUCUCAGCACGUCCCCCCAUGCUCCUUUUAUGCCACCUUGAAAGGAUCUGGGAGCUCCUGCUCUAAUGCAUCCAAGAAAUCUUUUCCCCAAUUAAAAUGCAAUACUCAAGCAGCUGUGAGUAGACAGGACCAAAACGGAAUUUCCUAAGGUACUGCAGACACCAUACCACACCCAAACCUUUAUGUUCUAUCAUAUUACACUGGAGCACUUGUGAAAAUUUAUUCCUUAAUAUAUUGCGCCCGGUGCUGUCAGUGUGCUGUGUACCUCCCUUUGUCUCCCAAUAUUAUUCCUUUUAACUUUUCUGUUAUCUUUGCCAUCAAUUUAUCCAAAGCAUGUGUUACCCUUGGAAAAAACACAUUAAAAAUACACACUGCUAAAUUCACUCUUAAACAUGUAGUGUUGGCAGAGGAGACAUGCAUUUGAGGAUUAACAAAAAAAUCUGCUGUAAACUAGGAGCAUGUCAGUUGUAAACAUCAUAGGAGGUGGAUCUACAUAUGCAUAUUAGCUGACUGCAAGGUUAUUAUAAGUUGGCAGUGGGAUACAACUAUGGAAAAGCAAAUGCCAUCUGAGAAUGAACCAGUUUAACUAUUUCUUAACAGGGAAAAGGAAAAUAAAUGUGCUAUUGCUUAAGGCACCUGUGAGAUCUCACACAGAUUUUUUUCAUCAUGUUCAUGGAAGAAGAAACAGGUAAAGAAAAGAGCUGCAGAGAUUACCAGAGACAAGUCAUUUUAAGAGCAAGGCUACAAAAUUUUUGCUUGUUUAGUCUAGCAGAAACAAAACCUGAUACAGGAAAUAAUUAUCCUCUAAAAACACAAUAGAGUGGUAAACAGUAGGCAAGGAAAAGAAUUAUUUACUCUAGCAGACAAUGUUGACACAAGAACAAGUGAGUGCAAUUUGGCCAUGAACAAAUUUAAGCUGGAAAUUAGAUGGUUUCUGACCCUAAAAAUGGUUAGGUUCUAGAGUAGUUUUUUAAUAAAAAUGGCGGGGACAAAAUCAUAACGAUUCAAGCUAUUUAAUGAUGAAGAUUGUGAAGUUUGUGGAAAAUGCUACAGACAUGGUUCCCUGGAUAAGUAAAGGACUGCAUUUUGAUCAUCCAGGAGAUUGUUUCUGGCAUUAAGUUUGCCUAUUUUCUGAAAGCAUGGGGUUAAAAAAAAAAUAGAAAUUAAAUCAUAUUUAUGCAUACGGUGUUAGAAAUAUUGCUUAAGCAAAUGCCAUCCAUAUGUAAAUGAUCUCUGUAAUUAAGUUUGUGCUUUGCAAUAAGAAAACAAUUUAACUUGAUAAAUAGGUAUCACAUUGUAGAUACUUCAGUGGUUGGAAGCUAAUUCUUUUUAAUGGAAAGAUGCAAUUUGUCACAUGCUGAUUUUCUUGGGUUUUAUAGGGUAUCUUUUUACUACUUUUAUUUUGUCUUCUUUGAGUCUUUAAAGUUCUAGACAACAGUUUUAUCAGCAUGUGUGGACAGCAAUGGGAGACAGCUGGAAAAUAAUGUCUGCCUAUUUGUUUAUACCAACCUAGCCAAAUUUGUCUCCUGAGUUCCUCAGAUGAGCAUUUGCUACUAGUAUAAAACAGUGUUAGGACAAAGAAAAAGCCUGAUGAUCACCAUGGUAAGAUGGAAUCUGAAUAUCAAAUAGAAAGAAGCAAACAUAAACCAAACAUAUUUGAGUUAGAAGAAUAACUUGAAAUUAAGGAAGGGUGUCCAAAGAAAAUAAGGAAAAUGUUAUGAAACUAAUUUCCACAAACACAGAAGGAAUUUGCUGAGGCUGCAGUCAGGAGUUUAGCCUAGAGACCCAACAUUAAAGCAGUUCUUAGAGUCUUCUUGUGCAGCUUCUGAUGCCUGUAAUCAUCUCACUAUUAAUAGAUAAUAAAUAUGGUUCACCCAACACUGUAGUGGCUGUUGAAAUUCAGGUCUGUGGUAUACCAUUAUGCCAUCUGAAGAAUUACAGCUAUUUAAAAACUAAUCUACGUUCCCUCAUCAGCAAAGCCAAGCAGCAGAAAGAAACACAAAACAUUGCAAAGGCAAAAUAGAGGUAUUCCCCUAUCAGUGUUAAGACAUAAACAGUGACAGAACUCUGUUGAAAACAAAGUGAUCGCAUAUGCACAGUUUAAAGUACUGUUAAAAAUUAUUAUUUGUAUGUGUACACAUAAGUAUAUAAUUGUAAAUGUAUUUUUUAUCAUAAGUCAUUUAUUAUUUGUAUUCUCUGUAAGCCCACUUACAAAAGAUUUAUUAUGGAAGAAACUGUAUUAUCAACUGCAGUGUGCAUAGGUAUUAGUUUAUAGUUGGUACUUGCUCAUCAAGUAUUAUGAAAAUAUGUCAAAACAUAACAGUAUAUGAGAAAUCACAUAGGUAACUGUACUUGACCAGAAACUGGAGAAUUCUGGCUGUACCAUGUAGAGGAAAAGGUCACAUACAACCUCCCCGCCUUGCUCCUCAAGGAGAAGUACCAUUAUGUGGGCUGGCUGUAAGAGGCCUCACUCCAUUUGCUGAAAAAAUACAAUAGUCCUAAUGGCCACAGAAGCAAAUUGGAAAAAUAUAGAUAAACAGGAAAACAUAACCAUUUCUAUAUUUUCCCAGUUUUGUUGCUGACCAAAAUCAAGUUACGCAAAGAUGUAGUAAAAAUAAUGCAAAAUAGUUAAAAAUUUGAAAGUCAAUUUUCAUACUUUAAUUCAUACUUUAAGUCACGUUAGUUCUUUUUAAAAUGAAACUGCUUUUCUUUCUUCCUUUUUUAGCACCUUUUUACUUAUAGUUACUAGUUACUGUAUUCAGUAUCUUUUGCAACUAACAGCUAACUGAAGCUGCAAGCCUGAAGACCUCAGUAAGUUUUUAAGAAUAAAAGGAGCUCACAUCAUGAAGAAAACAAUUUCAAAUUCUUUAUGUCUGAAGUUGCCACUCAGACACUAGCCAUGACACUUAGGAAACAGCUGCCAAUUUUCACCUUUUUUUCCUUUACUCCCCAAGCAGAAGUUAAAAAGUACAGACAAGUUUUUUAACAGUGUUAUGGUCUGGUUUAGAAGGACGCUUUUCUGAUAAUGAAUUGUUAUUUCUCCUCAUAUGUAGCUCUUAGGAGGACAUCAUGCCUUGCCUGUUGAACAAGUGACAAGGGACUGCUGAGGAAUGUGUUUCCCCUCUGUGAAGUUCAGUCUGCCCAUCCCAAUAGCACCCAGUCAGCAGAGGAAUCCAUCCUACGUAUACUCCCAUGGACUCCAAAUACUGAUGCGAGAGCUCAGCAGUUCAGCAAGUCACACAUGACUGUCUGGCAUUUGGAAGAUGAAGUGCAUAUUAUUAAAAAGUUUGGUUUAAGUCAUUGCCUAGCAUCAAGUUCUGUGGCAGAGGAAAGGAUGCACUCAGACUCCUAAAUAUAAUAAAACAAACACAAGAUACUGAAGGAGCAGACACUGUAAGCAAUUCAUAACCAGAUCAAGCCCAUCAGCCCCUCAUGAAAAGGUAGGUGGUAAGUUUAAUACAGACGAGCUUUGAAGAAAAUAAUUCCUUUCUAGAAAAGGAAUUGCAAUAAUCCAUGCUAAUUCUAUGCAUAAUACAGGCCAUGCUAUAUCACUCAAAGGAGAGGCUAAAAUGCCAUUACCAAAAAUGCCAAUUUAAAUGGGAUAUAGCUGCUUAAACUAAUAUGAAAUAUGUGGUCAAUUUAUAGAUAUUACGGGUGCAGUGGCAUAGGUAGUUUCAUUAACAUGAAGAUAAAAAGGCCUUUAAGCUGUUUUUGAAGAGUAAUGCUGGGACUGUGCCUAUGUAUGUGAGUAAACAUUAUUGUAGUGUAUUGGGUUAUGGAAACUUUUUCCUCACUUGCAAUGUUGAUUGACAAGUUAAAUUUUCUGGGUGGCUUGGAGUUUUGAUACAUGAUGCUCAUGUUAGGUAUAAACAUGACAAGUUUACAGAAGAUCUGCCUGUGAAAACAUAGAAACUAAAGAUGUUCUUACUCCUCUUUAAUUACUUAAUGACAUUUUUCCACUUUAGCUUUAGUAUAGGAUUCAGAAGUACGUAGCACAUAGCUAAUAUCCCAUCCUCAGGGAUGGGAUCCUCAAUGGAUGGUGCAUCCUCAAUGCACCCCUCUGCAUACCUCCCUCUGCUGUAGCCCCACCAACAAGGACGUUGCCUUUAGGAGCAGAGGAUGUGGGAUCUCGUCCAUUUCCCAUCUCAGUGAAGCUUCUUACCAUCGCUUACUACCUGCAGGUCAGAGGGGUGGCCAGUUGCUGUGGCUGUUGCACCACUGGAGACAGUUUUUUAAUGAGUGUAGGAAACAGAAGAAAUAGAAAUGGGUGAGUAUGAGAAAAGUCUUUUCUAUUGAACUUUUCACUGAGUAUAACUGCAUAUAAUUUAAAUGUACAUUCAUUUCUGCACAAUCUCUGCAAAAUACUGAGUAUAAGUGAACAGUACAAUGACAAUCCUACAAUCUGUACUUUUUUUUUUUUUCUUUCUAACAGCAUUUCCCAGUUUAGCAUUUUUCAUAGGUACUAAUUGAUUGUGGUUAUGCAUGACUAGCUACAAAUGAGCAAUAUUGUUGCAAAUAUACUUUUGGAUACAAUUCCCUGGUAAACCUUGAGACAAGACCUGUGGCAGGAAUAGUAUCAAAAGUAGAAAAAAAAAGCACAAAUUCUCAGGGACAAAUAUGGCUAUAUUUUGAAUUUCUGCUCAUUUUUAACUUCGUGUUCUUUGGGACAAAUUCUAACACAAUGAGGAGUUUAACAUGAUCUAGAAAACCCACAAGAAAAUCUUGUUGGCAUGAGACCUGGGAAAUCUGUUGACUCCACUGCAGUUCCCACUUAGGAAUUCAUUUCCCCCUUUCGGCUGAUCAGGAAUCAUUCAAUUUUCAGCACUUUUGGUUAAAUUACAGUUAUAUAGCUAAAAGCACAAAGCAGGAGCAUGUUUAUAGUCCAUAGAGAAACUGAACUGAUACUGUGAAACAUGAUGCAAAUACUUUGAAGUCAAAGGUGGUUUUUGAUCAUAUCUAAAUGAUAUGAUAUAAAUGAUAUCAUAUAAACUGAAAUGGCAAAAUUGUUUACUUCUAUCACAUCCUACAGUUAUCACAUGGCAUCAAAAAGGGAGCAAGCUGAUUAGGUAUUUUAAUUGUAUCUAUGAAGCUAUUUGGAUUUUCUUCUGUUUAAUUCUGAAUUUCCUGCAUCAGAAUGGUUGGUUUGGAAACGCUGCUGUUAUUCUUUCAAGUUACUUCAGCCUUACUUUCCUCCUAACAUUUUUGUCUGGGAAUAAUGGUGUGAAAUUCAUAGCAGCCAGAGUGCAGAGGAAUAUAGAGAUACUUUAUACAUACCUAUCAAUAAUGCAUUUAUCUACAUUCUUAGGGGAUCAUAUUUCCAUAGUCAGUUACAAAUAAUUCAAAGCAACUGCAAGG
Athene cunicularia (burrowing owl) is the source of this 6468-nucleotide long non-coding RNA. RefSeq lists it as uncharacterized. The transcript is spliced from 2 exons. The record is from RefSeq and is a predicted model, not a curated record. NCBI's taxonomy places the organism in Eukaryota, Metazoa, Chordata, Aves, Strigiformes, Strigidae.